RNAcentral lists this small RNA (621 nucleotides) under human gut metagenome. The record is from RNAcentral.
UGUUAAUAAGGUGGUGCAGUAUCCUAGUCGGUUCGGGCAAUUCCCAGGACGGGCCUAAAAAUCCGUUGUAGGGCACAUCGAUGAAGUUCCUGGUGCAGGCUUUCGCCGCCAAGCGGGGGUUUGUGCUGGGAGUUAAGGUUUUUGGGCGCUCGGCAACGGCAUGCCGAAUGCGACCCAAUUUCCGCGGAGACCUGUUAUUGUAGCGCAUACUUUGCACUGUGUUCAGACUAAAGUGCGUUACGAAACAGGAUGAAACCUGUACCUUGGUACACAUUUGUGCUUGGGACAGAGUAGCCUGCCUUGAGUGGGGAUGCUGGGAUAACAGAUCAGGCAAAACUAUGCCGGCCAGCAUAUUUUUGCUAUUGCUUUUUGAAAACAUUCCUGCAAAAGAGGAUAAAGAAUUGUAUCGGCUGUCGGGGAAAACCCCUAGGCUGUUCGGAAGAGAUAUGUGUGGGAUUGCAGUACAGUCUUAGUGGCAAUUCAGUCCCGGAUGCGGUGACGCACCGGACAAGGCGUUAAUGGGGAACCCCCCUUACCGGCGACGGAAGGGUUGCCUUGCGGGAAAUCCUACUGAACCUAUGCUGUAGAUUUUAUCACACAUAUCACCACCUUUUAUAUAUU